This 315-nucleotide unclassified non-coding RNA is filed under the name plant metagenome. Its description in RNAcentral is "partial contains 5.8S ribosomal RNA, internal transcribed spacer 2, and large subunit ribosomal RNA". The stretch from base 1 to 106 matches the Rfam family "5.8S ribosomal RNA", at positions 49 to 154 of the family's 154-position model. The record is from RNAcentral.
CGAAAUGCGAUAAUUAAUGUGAAUUGCAGAAUUCAGUGAAUCAUCGAGUCUUUGAACGCACAUUGCGCCCCCUGGUAUUCCGGGGGGCAUGCCUGUCCGAGCGUCAUUGCUGCCCUCAAGCACGGCUUGUGUGUUGGGCUUCCGUCCCUGGCAACGGGGACGGGCCCAAAAGGCAGUGGCGGCACCAUGUCUGGUCCUCGAGCGUAUGGGGCUUUGUCACCCGCUCCCGUAGGUCCAGCUGGCAGCUAGCCUCGCAACCAAUCUUUUUAACCAGGUUGACCUCGGAUCAGGUAGGGAUACCCGCUGAACUUAAGA